UCCCAGACUCCUACGGGAGGCAGCAGUGGGGAAUAUUGCACAAUGGGCGAAAGCCUGAUGCAGCGACGCCGCGUGAGUGAAGAAGUAUUUCGGUAUGUAAAGCUCUAUCAGCAGGGAAGAAAAUGACGGUACCUGACUAAGAAGCCCCGGCUAACUACGUGCCAGCAGCCGCGGUAAUACGUAGGGGGCAAGCGUUAUCCGGAUUUACUGGGUGUAAAGGGAGCGUAGACGGCGAUGCAAGCCAGAUGUGAAAGCCCGCGGCUCAACUGCGGUAGUGCAUUUGGAACUGUAUGGCUGGAGUGCAGGAGAGGCAGGCGGAAUUCCUAGUGUAGCGGUGAAAUGCGUAGAUAUUAGGAGGAACACCAGUGGCGAAGGCGGCCUGCUGGACUGUAACUGACGUUGAGGCUCGAAAGCGUGGGGAGCAAACAGGAUUAGAUACCCGCGUA
RNAcentral lists this ribosomal RNA (446 nucleotides) under uncultured bacterium. RNAcentral describes it as "bacterial SSU rRNA". It matches the Rfam family "Bacterial small subunit ribosomal RNA", at positions 329 to 792 of the family's 1533-position model. The record is from RNAcentral.